RNAcentral lists this ribosomal RNA (298 nucleotides) under uncultured bacterium. RNAcentral describes it as "partial 16S ribosomal RNA". It matches the Rfam family "Bacterial small subunit ribosomal RNA", at positions 331 to 648 of the family's 1533-position model. The record is from RNAcentral.
CCUGACCUACGGGAGGCAGCAGUGGGGGAUAUUGCACAAUGGGGGGAACCCUGAUGCAGCGACGCCGCGUGGGUGAAGAAGCGCCUCGGCGCGUAAAGCCCUGUCAGCAGGGAAGAAAAUGACGGUACCUGAAGAAGAAGCCCCGGCUAACUACGUGCCAGCAGCCGCGGUAAUACGUAGGGGGCAAGCGUUAUCCGGAUUUACUGGGUGUAAAUGGGGCGCAGACGGCGAUGCAAGCCAGGAGUGAAAGCCCGGGGCCCAACCCCGGGACUGCACUUGGAACUGCGUGGCCGGAGGG